Molecule: ribosomal RNA, 497 nt
Filed under: uncultured bacterium
Lineage: Bacteria
Description: partial 16S ribosomal RNA
Rfam family: Bacterial small subunit ribosomal RNA
Source: RNAcentral
GAUGAACGCUGGCGGCGUGCCUAAUACAUGCAAGUCGAGCGAACAGAUGAGGAGCUUGCUCCUCUGACGUUAGCGGCGGAAGGGUGAGUAACACGUGGAUAACCUACCUAUAAGACUGGGAUAACUUCGGGAAACCGGAGCUAAUACCGGAUAAUAUCUUGCACCGCAUGGUUCAAUAGUGAAAGACGGUUUUGCUGUCUCUUAUAGAUGCAUCCGGGCCGCAUUAGCUGGUUGGUAAGGUAACGGCUUACCACGGCAACGAUGCGUAGCCGACCUGAGAGAGGGAUCGGCGACACUGGAGCGGGGACAGGGACCAGGGGCCUGCGGGACGCAGCAGUAGGGAAUCGUCCGCAUGAGGGGGGAGCCUGGCGGAGUGGGGCGGCGUGUGAUGUGAAAGUCUUGGGAUCGUAAAGCUGUGUUAUGGGGGGAGAACAGAUGUGGAAUGAGCUGUAGACGGCUUGACGGUAACUGGUCAAGAAGCCACGGCUAACUACGUG